GAGAGAGAGAGAGAGAGAGAGAUGAUCCUGGAGUUUUUCUUUUGAUCCAAAAUUUCCGAAUCAUGUAAAAUAUCGACCUGAAAAAUUAAUUGUAUAUUUGAAGAUCCAAUGGAUGGUGACGAUUAUAAUAUAAUCAUUUUAUAUUUGGUGUUGGUGUCGGUUUGUGGUUGAUUGGUUGGUUAGUUAAUGCUGCUGCUGAUGAUGAUGAUGGUGUUGGCGUUUAACAAAAAAAAAAAAAAAAUUAAUGAUGAUCGAUGAUGAUUAAAAAACAGUGUAGUAGAAAACCAUUGCCAAUAACAUUGUGUAAAUGUUCAUCAUCAUCAUCAUCAUCAUCGAUGAAUAAUAUUCGACGAUUCGAAUCUAUAUCCACCCAAUUGUAAGCUCGGGUAAGUUUGGUUAAUUUUGCAAUUUUUUUUAUGAAUUUGUUUCUUUUGAAAAAUUUCAAAAAACUACAGUAAAAAAAAUAUCCAUCCAUCAUGAUCAUCGAUAUCAACUUUGCAUCUCAAUUUUCAAAUUCAAUCACCCAUUAUGACUCAUUCAG
This is a non-coding RNA of Dermatophagoides farinae (American house dust mite), 541 nucleotides long. NCBI's taxonomy places the organism in Eukaryota, Metazoa, Arthropoda, Arachnida, Sarcoptiformes, Pyroglyphidae. The record is from RefSeq and is a predicted model, not a curated record.